Molecule: long non-coding RNA, 2030 nt
Organism: Siniperca chuatsi (mandarin fish)
Lineage: Eukaryota; Metazoa; Chordata; Actinopteri; Centrarchiformes; Sinipercidae
Exons: 2
Source: RefSeq, a predicted model, not a curated record
UUUAUUUGUAUUUUUUGUAAUUUAGGUUAAUUGACCAUUUUAAACUAUUUUCGUUCUCCAAACAGCUGUUGAAUCAUCUGUACUUCUGGUAAAAUUUUAAUAGAAUUAAUCACCACUUUUUCUCAAAAGAGGUAUUUAACAGUGAUUUUCCAGUUGUUGCUGUUGUAAUAACAAACACCUUCUAAACAUAUAGGUGAGGUUUGAUUUCUUUUUCCAUUUCGCAACUAAAUGUUUUGAAUACAGUAGACCGGGGAUCAGCAAAUUUAAAAGAACAGUUUUUCAGCACUGCUCGUUGGCCAGCAUAUCCUGCAUGUGUGGAUUUCCUGGCUAUUUGUUUAGACAUUAUUUGUGAUUGAUUGUUAAAUCGAACAGUUGUUUAUUUCAAAGUGAAAAUGUGCUGGAAUAGUGAAACUUUGCUUUUACAAGGACAUCAUUAUGUACUGCAACUCUGUCAUUCAUACAAACAUAAACUGCACAUGUCCCUCAUCAGCACUCAUGAGCCCACAGUCAGCAGCCUGCAUCGGCAAGGGAGAGUGAGGUCAAGGACAAGAUCACUGUGACUGAUAAAACUCUUAACUCUCUGAGAUCAACAUUCAGGAGGAACAACAUGGUUCUGUGAGGAAGAGGAGCCAGGGCAGAGUGGAUGGACAAUAGCUCAGUCACAGAGAGAGUGAUGGAGAGGGGAAGAUAAAGGGAGUCUGGGUUUUGUUGUAGUGAAGGGCUCUCCAAAAGGGCACAAUAAAUCUCCCCACAGAGGAAGAUCAGAGACUGGCCAAACCCACAACCCCACCUAAACACACACACACAUAUACACACCUGAGAUGUUCUUUGUGUUCUCCCUGUAACCUCAUGAAUUUUGGAACAAAAUCAAGUCUGUACUCUAAUGUCAAUUAAUGCCACACACAUGCUCUCUUGGCUUUAAAUCACUAUCAUCCCCGUUUCUAAUCAUCUCCCAAAGUAAUUAUUAUUAUAAUGAACUUUAUAUAACACUUUUCAAAAAAGGUUACUUAGUACUUAUACAAAACCAAAGCAAUAAAACAGUCAGGUAAAAGACAAAACUAAAAAUACUAAAACAGAAAAGAAACCCAGCACAAAGAGAAUUUAACACAAAAACAAGUAAAGUAAGAUACUCACUGUGCGUAUCCAGCUUAUUUAAUACAUCUAUGAUUUCACCAACAGAUCACCGCUACUCCCUUUUUCAUAGAAUGGCACAGCCUCUACUUUCAAACCUACACCAACCGCUAAACUUCUGUUUCCUGAUAAAAGCUCACCACGUACAGGUUUCCUCACAUUUUUGCAGUAAACUUCCUCUAAACCUCAAAAGUAAUUUCCAGUAAAAACAUGCAGCUAGUAUUGCCAAUAAAUUGCUGCUCCUGAGUGCUGUAUCAUUGUCGACCAUCAUUAUAUAAUACUGUAGUAGUUUAGAGACUUGAAAAGCAGGCAAAAGAUGAGUGCUGUAAAUCCCUGUACAAUCUAAGGAUUCCUGGUCAGGAAAUUGAAAAAGUAGCUCUCUUCCUCCCCUCAACAGCAUGUCUUGAAAUACUCAGUUCAAGUGCAGAAUUAAGAAAAUUGUAUCCCUUAUUAGGGAUAUUUAGGCCAAGGUCCAAGUAACAAGUGAUUAGUUUUUGGUGUGGAUCCGAAACCAGGAAUUUUUAAAAAGAUUUUUUACCGUUGUGAUAUAGGGUAUGUUUGAACACGUCUUCUAAUUAAGAACUACUGUACUUACUUGAAUGAUGGUACAUGAAGCAUAAAUGUUUAUCAUUACCAGUAUUUUGAUAGAACCAAAUCCAGAUGCAGAUUCUCAACAUUUUCUCUUAUUAAAAUAACUCCUUUAAUGCUCGCCGCAGCCCUGGCAGAAGGGAGCGCUCUGAGUGAUUUCUAGUAAUGACUUUGUUGCCUUUCUACUGUAUGGUGCUACUGUAUUUAUUUUUAAAUAAAUACAAGUGGUCCUUGAAUCAGACCGUUGUUUUAUUUUAUUUGUUUUAAUUACUGGAACUUUAUAUAGUGCAUGUUGUCACCUGCUAAUUCGC